GAGAAUAUAGCUCAGUGGUAGAGUGCCUGCUUAGCACACAUGAGGUCCUGGCUUCAACCACCAGUACCUCCA
Transfer RNA from Camelus ferus (Wild Bactrian camel), 72 nucleotides. It matches the Rfam family "tRNA". Rfam says of the family: Transfer RNA (tRNA) molecules are approximately 80 nucleotides in length. NCBI's taxonomy places the organism in Eukaryota, Metazoa, Chordata, Mammalia, Artiodactyla, Camelidae. The record is from Rfam.